This 648-nucleotide ribosomal RNA is filed under the name Salmonella enterica subsp. enterica. RNAcentral's name for it is "partial 23S ribosomal RNA". It matches the Rfam family "Bacterial large subunit ribosomal RNA", at positions 228 to 816 of the family's 2925-position model. Lineage: Bacteria; Pseudomonadati; Pseudomonadota; Gammaproteobacteria; Enterobacterales; Enterobacteriaceae. The record is from RNAcentral.
ACCGAGAUUCCCCCAGUAGCGGCGAGCGAACGGGGAGGAGCCCAGAGCCUGAAUCAGCAUGUGUGUUAGUGGAAGCGUCUGGAAAGGCGCGCGAUACAGGGUGACAGCCCCGUACACAAAAGCGCAUAUGCUGUGAGCUCGAUGAGUAGGGCGGGACACGUGGUAUCCUGUCUGAAUAUGGGGGGACCAUCCUCCAAGGCUAAAUACUCCUGACUGACCGAUAGUGAACCAGUACCGUGAGGGAAAGGCGAAAAGAACCCCGGCGAGGGGAGUGAAAAAGAACCUGAAACCGUGUACGUACAAGCAGUGGGAGCCCCACCACUAAGCCAGUGGUGAACUCCACAUACGCAUCCUUUGCUGAGGAUACGGUUAACGGAGCGAAAGCGACGUUCAACCUCAAAAGAAGCAGAGGGGGCUUAGUGGUGGGGUGACUGCGUACCUUUUGUAUAAUGGGUCAGCGACUUAUAUUCUGUAGCAAGGUUAACCGAAUAGGGGAGCCGGAGGGAAACCGAGUCUUAAUUGGGCGUUAAGUUGCAGGGUAUAGACCCGAAACCCGGUGAUCUAGCCAUGGGCAGGUUGAAGGUUGGGUAACACUAACUGGAGGACCGAACCGACUAAUGUUGAAAAAUUAGCGGAUGACCUGUGGCU